This 356-nucleotide ribosomal RNA is filed under the name uncultured Mycobacterium sp. Its description in RNAcentral is "bacterial SSU rRNA". It matches the Rfam family "Bacterial small subunit ribosomal RNA", at positions 524 to 876 of the family's 1533-position model. Lineage: Bacteria; Bacillati; Actinomycetota; Actinomycetes; Mycobacteriales; Mycobacteriaceae. The record is from RNAcentral.
UACGUAGGGUGCGAGCGUUGUCCGGAAUUACUGGGCGUAAAGAGCUCGUAGGUGGUUUGUCGCGUUGUUCGUGAAAUCUCACGGCUUAACUGUGAGCGUGCGGGCGAUACGGGCAGACUAGAGUACUGCAGGGGAGACUGGAAUUCCUGGUGUAGCGGUGGAAUGCGCAGAUAUCAGGAGGAACACCGGUGGCGAAGGCGGGUCUCUGGGCAGUAACUGACGCUGAGGAGCGAAAGCGUGGGGAGCGAACAGGAUUAGAUACCCUGGUAGUCCACGCCGUAAACGGUGGGUACUAGGUGUGGGUUUCCUUCCCUUGGGAUCCGUGCCGUAGCUAACGCAUUAAGUACCCCGCCUGG